GGAUAGGUGGCAGAGAGGUGAUGCGUGAGACUGCAGAUCUCAUUUAUUAGGGUUCGAAUCCCUACCUAUCCU
Transfer RNA from Thermoplasmatales archaeon E-plasma, 72 nucleotides. It matches the Rfam family "tRNA". From Rfam's summary of the family: Transfer RNA (tRNA) molecules are approximately 80 nucleotides in length. Their secondary structure includes four short double-helical elements and three loops (D, anti-codon, and T loops). The record is from Rfam. Lineage: Archaea; Methanobacteriati; Thermoplasmatota; Thermoplasmata; Thermoplasmatales.